This 528-nucleotide ribosomal RNA is filed under the name Pichia pseudolambica. RNAcentral describes it as "eukaryotic LSU rRNA". It matches the Rfam family "Eukaryotic large subunit ribosomal RNA", at positions 98 to 653 of the family's 3401-position model. The record is from RNAcentral. Lineage: Eukaryota; Fungi; Ascomycota; Pichiomycetes; Pichiales; Pichiaceae.
GCGGCAAGAGCUCAGAUUUGGAAUCGUGUUUCGGCACGAGUUGUAAAUUGCAGGUUGGAGUCUUUGUGGAAGCGUGUGUCCAAGUCCCUUGGAACAGGGCGCCAUUGAGGGUGAGAGCCCCGUGGGAUGCGCGCGGAAGCAGCAAGGCCCUUCUGACGAGUCGAGUUGUUUGGGAAUGCAGCUCUAAGCGGGUGGUAAAUUCCAUCUAAGGCUAAAUACUGGCGAGAGACCGAUAGCGAACAAGUACUGUGAAGGAAAGAUGAAAAGCACUUUGAAAAGAGAGUGAAACAGCACGUGAAAUUGUUGAAAGGGAAGGGUAUUGGGCCCGACAUGGGGAUUGCGCAUCUCUGCUCCUUGUGGGCGGGGCGCUGUGCUUUUCCUGGGCCAGCAUCGGUUUUUGCCGCAGGAGAAGGGGUACUGGAAUGUGGCUCCUCGGAGUGUUAUAGCCAGUGCCAGAUGCUGCGUGCGGGGACCGAGGGCUGCGACAUCUGUCUCGGAUGCUGGCACAACGGCGCAAUACCGCCCGUC